Molecule: long non-coding RNA, 4724 nt
Organism: Canis lupus familiaris (dog)
Lineage: Eukaryota; Metazoa; Chordata; Mammalia; Carnivora; Canidae
Exons: 9
Source: RefSeq, a predicted model, not a curated record
GGCAGCUGAGGCCGAGCCUCCACGGGCGGAGGGGGCAUUCACUGAGUUGCCUUUGUAUUGCUGGGAGGACCAAGCGGAGGUUCCCACUAUGCAGCCCGGAGUCUGUGCGGCCAGAUGACGCAUGAGAUAAGCCUCAAGUGGCUUAAUGAGAACUCGAAGAACAUCAAGUUGGGAACUGGGAGAUGUGGAUUCUAGCCAGGAAUGCCACUAACUCACCGCAUACUCUGGGUUUUUCUGGAGGUUCCACUGAGAUAUUGUCUUUGCUGUCCAUCACAUGGAUGCCAGCCUUGAGCAGAUGUGAUACCACAGAGGCCCCUUGUGCCUUGCUGUCCAUAGCUUGUAGACUCAGUGCCAAUGUGGGGAAGUCCAAUCUGUUCUCAGACCACCAGAGCGUCUCUCUGCCUCUUCUAAAACCCCUCUGUAUCGGUCCAGCCAUAUUGUUGCCUAUAGCAGGAUUUCAUUCUUUUUAAUAGCACUUUGAACAUAUCAUGCCACUUGCUUCUGGCCCACAAAGUUUCUGCUGAAACAUCGACAGAUAGUCUUACAGGUUUUCCGUUGCAGCACCACAGAGCAGCUGUAGACUCACUGAAGUAGGAAGCCUUUCAAAAUGACUGGACUUUCCUGCCAUGGUGUCCAGACCCUGCUCUGGUCCAGGCUUCCAAGGACAUUUGUUGACUACUGUAGACAGCAUGGAAAAGUUCAACAUCAUAGAAUCUAAAGACCUGUGUGGACCUGGCCAAGCUGACCAAGUCCAGAGAAAAUGUCCCUUGAAGUAGGUAUAUUUUGGGUUCAUUUGAUAAUAAGAUGAAGAAUAGAGCUUUGUCAACUAUAAAGCACCAUGAAAAAUUGAGAAUUAAUAUUUCUACCUUAUGAAUAUAUUCAAGAUGAUCCCUUACUUGGAGAUAAUGGCUCAGAGAGAUUAUUUAAAGAGAAAACUGGAAAUAUUUUGACAUUUUUUAUGUGUUGGGGAUGACAGGAAGCCAAAGAUGUUACAUUUUCAAGGUUAGUGAAUGUGAUUGUGAUGGAGUGAUGGUGUCAUACAUUGAAAAAAGGAUCAUAGGAAAAGAUGUUUUAUUUUGAAAUUGAGAUAUAAUUCAUGUAACAAAAUUCAUGCUUUUAAACUACAAAAUUCAGUGGUUUUUGAUAUAUUCACAGAGUUGUGUAACCAUCACCCUAUCUACUUUAGAAUGUUUUUAUUACCCCAAAAGAAACUUCAUACCCAUUACGGAUUAUUUCCCGUCUCCUUCUAUCCCAUUCCCUGGCAACCAUUAAUCUAUUUCUGUCUUGAUGGAUUUGAAUAUUCUGGAAAUUUCAUAUAAAUGGACCAUAUAAUUUCUGUCUGCUUCUUUCAUUUAGCAUCACCUUUUCAAAGUUCAUCUAUAUUAUACCAUGUGUCAGUAUUUCAUUCACUUUUAUGGCUGAGUAAUAUUCUAUUGUAUAGAUAUACCACAUUUUGUUUACUCACUCAUCAAUUGGUGGAUACUUGGGUUGCUUCUACUUUUUGGUAUUCCAAAUAAUGAUCUAUGAAUAUUAAUGUACCAAUUUUUGUGCAGAACUAUGUUUUAACUUUUUUGGGGAAUAUACCUAGCAUUAUAAUUGCUAGAUUGUAUGAUAACUCUAUGUUUGAUAUUUUUAGGGAUCCCCAAACUAUUUUCCAGAGUGGCACAAAAGAGAAAAACUUUAGGUGAGAGUUAACUUGGUUUUGUACAUGUUGAAUUUGGAGUGUUUUCAAGACAUCCAGGAGGCUAUUUUGGGGAAGGAUAUUUGCUAUAUGGGUUUUAGGCUUAGGCGAAUAGUAUGAAUUUGAGAAGUAGAUUUUGGCAUCAUCAACAUGUAGAGCUAGAGAAAAAAGAAAGCAAGAGUUCACCCAACGAAAGUAUUUAGAGAGAAAAUAGUAGGGAAAUAAGGGCACAUAAAUAAGAACUACAUCUCUAAAGUCAAUUCAGACAAGUAAGCUUGGUCUGUGUGAAGGAAGACAGGAAAGGGGAGAUUAAUUAGGACUUGGUAGGCAAUAAUCAGGAUAUUUUUCUGAUAACAAAAAGAUUUGCAUGACAUGAAGGAUUUCACUGACAGAGAUGAACAUACAGAGAAAAGAGAAUGGCAUUUUGAUGUGGGAUCUUAAAUCUUAGAUGAGAAGAAAUCUACCAAGCAGAAGAAUGUGGAAAAGGCUUUUCAAGCAUGGGAAACAGCAUGCGUAAAGACACUUGUUUAAAGCAUAUGAUGAACUCAGGAUAGUUAUACAAUUAACAUUCAUUUGGUGGUUACUCUCUGCCAGCACUGAAUUAGGUGCUUCACCAGAUGAUCUCAUUUAAACUUUACAAAAGCUUUCAUUUUAGAGAUAUGGAAGUAGACUCAAGGAUGUUAUGUACUGAGCCAAGGUCACAUAGCUGGGAAGUGGUAGGAUCCAGAUAUGAACCAAGAUAAUUUUAUUUCAGAGCCUAUACUCCUGUACAGUGAAAUAUCUAAAUACUUGUAAGUAUCAGGUAUUAAGUACCAGUAUUCAACAUUAAUGUUGUGCUCCUGGUAGCUCAUUUGGUGCCUCCAGUCCUGGUCCUUACUCGAUGAUUUGAUGGCUCACUUGGUAUGCUCUUCAUUGUUCUUAAUUUUAGGUCAGGGGCUCCAAAACAUCAAAUUCAUUUGGGAAGUACUUAAAGUAUCUUGGCCCUUCUAUAAGAUUUACAUUCUUCAAGAUGAGGCAACACUUAUGACUGAGUACCCCUCAGAUGAUUAUGCUGCAUCCAGCCUGGCUCCUGUACUAGGUCUGUCAUUAAGGACUCAUUUCCUAGAGUCCUCAGAUGCCCAAACUGGAAGACAGUACUUCCUAACUUCCCAAGUUCAUUUGCUGAAAUAGUAGAAAAGGCUAAAGGUGGUGGUUCUGGCCAUUCUGAACCUUAUUUAUUCCAGAAGUUAUUUUCUUUCUUACUUAUUAAAUACGUAUUAAGCACCCAUCAUGUACUAGGUGCUUUCACUGGAACUGACUUAUGUCUCAAAAUAUCUCUAGGAAAUGUGUCAUGUUAUUCUAGCUUGACAUAAGAAGGAAUUUAAAUGUAGAGAACUUAAGUAACUUGGCAUGGUUUACAGGACUAGUAAGAACUAAGAUUUAAGCAGAUAUUCAGAAUUCAAGUCCUGGGCCCUCCUACCCUCCCAGACAAUCUUUCCUAUGGGAAAUGUUUAAGAAUAGGAUUAAUCUACUUACUAGGUUUCCAUUAAUAUAUCCUUCAUUUCUACAAUGUGUAAGGACUCAUACAAGUCUACCUAUAAGAAAAUUCUAAGCUAUAUACUGGUACACUUCCUUAUGUGACUUAUAUGUUUUCAAAAGAAAUUUUAAAAGUUUGAAUUCCUCCUCCUCUAAUAUGCAAAUCAGAGCCAUCAUGUGGUCUGAGGCCACAGUCCAUUGAAGGAUCACAGACCUUGUUGGCAGAGGAAAAUAAACCCCAACAGUUGGAGCUGCAAGCCAUCUGUCCUUAGUAUUUCACAUUUUGUCAAAAAUCAUCAGCAUAGCUGGAAAAUAGCUGUGACCAACUAAUAUUACUAAAAUAUAAAGUAUGAUUAAAUGGAAUACUCAAACUGUUUAUUCAGAGAUAAAAUAUAUAUUCUUUGAAAUUUUGGAAGGACACUAAGAAUUAUGGAAAAUAUUCACAUUGCAAAGUUAGUACAGAGUAUUUGAUGGUGUAUUGGAAGAAAAUGGAUUUAAGAAUCUUGGUUUCUUACACUAGAACUGCAAUUGACUUUAGAGACCGUUUAACUAAACUUCUUUGUUUUAUAAGUGAGAAAAAUGAGAUCAAAAGAGAUUAAAUGGAUUGUCCAAAGUCAAAAAGUACUUAAAAAAAUGGCAUCUCAAUCUUGUCAGUGAUAUGAAAAUAGAGUCAGACAAUUGUUAUUAUUAUUGCUAAAAUAAAUAGUUCCAAUUUAUUGGAUGCUUAUGAUUUUGAGAACUUUAUAUAUAUCAACUUAUUCAAUCUAUAUAGCAAAUCUAGAUGGUAAAUAUUAUCAUUGCCCUCUAUGGAGGAAAACCUGAGGUUCAUGAAGGUCAGGAACUUGCCACAUUGACUCUAUACAGAUAUACAGAUGGUACAGAUAAGCAAAUGUGGAAGAAGCAAAAGUUCUUUCUUGGGUCAAAGGCCAUGUAAUAAUAAAGAACAAUGAAAUUAAAAAAAUCACCAGUUGGCAAGCAUCAUCAUAUUUAUUGCUAAGGGAAGAAUCAUAAGAUGAUAAAACUAAUGGUUAAAACAUUAAUGAGAUUAAGAUAUUUACUUAGAUCCAAAAGUUUUGUCCCAUAGAUAAUUACAGAUUAAAAAUGAAAAUAAUAGUAUUUUAAAACUGGAAGAACCCAGAGAUUUCAUCCUAACAAAUGACCAAAGUCAUUUGGACAAAGAAUAUGUUCUUUCUGACCUCAUGUGUUGAGAAGGACAUAACAUCACCUCUGGGAUAUUCCUGUCAAAAAUGUAUAACCUGAAACUGAAAAAUGAGAAACAUUCUAAAAUAUGUCUGUCUUAUUCUUUUAAAAAUUGUCAAUGUCAUGAAAGACAAAGACUGAAUGCAACAGGAGAUUUGAGAUUUUCUUUAGAUAUGAAGGACAAGAUAGGGGUAAGUGGAAAAGUAUUGAAUGCAACCUGAAGGUUAGAUAAUAGAAUUAGAUCAAUGUUAAUUUUCUGAUUUUGUAAUUGUUCUAGUUAUGCAAUAAAAUUUCCUUGUUUUUAGAAAAUGCACACUGAAUUAUUAAC